UACCAGCACCCCGAGUGGUCGGGACGAUUAUUGGGCCUAAAGCAUCCGUAGCCGGUUCUGCAAGUCCCCCGUUAAAUCCAGCUGCUCAACAGAUGGGCCGCGGAGGAUACUACAGAGCUAGGAGGCAGGAGAGGCAAGCGGUACUCAGUGGGUAGGGGUAAAAUCCGUUGAUCCAUUGAAGACCACCAGUGGCGAAGGCGGCUUGCCAGAAUGCGCUCGACGGUGAGGGAUGAAAGCUGGGGGAGCAA
RNAcentral lists this ribosomal RNA (248 nucleotides) under uncultured bacterium. Its description in RNAcentral is "partial 16S ribosomal RNA". It matches the Rfam family "Archaeal small subunit ribosomal RNA", at positions 474 to 722 of the family's 1478-position model. The record is from RNAcentral.